This 273-nucleotide ribosomal RNA is filed under the name uncultured bacterium. RNAcentral's name for it is "partial 16S ribosomal RNA". It matches the Rfam family "Bacterial small subunit ribosomal RNA", at positions 85 to 354 of the family's 1533-position model. The record is from RNAcentral.
CGGCGGCCUAGUGGCGGACGGGUGAGUAACGCGGUGGGCCAAANUCUGCCCCGUACCGGGGGAUAACACCUGGAAACAGGUGCUAACACCGCAUGACAGGGCGGGGGCGCAUGCCCCGGCCUUGAAAACUCCGGUGGUACGGGAUGAGCCCGCGUCCGAUUAGCCAGUUGGCGGGGUAACGGCCCACCAAAGCGACGAUCGGUAGCCGGCCUGAGAGGGUGGACGGCCACAUUGGGACUGAGACACGGCCCAAACUCCUACGGGAGGCAGCAG